RNAcentral lists this ribosomal RNA (1346 nucleotides) under uncultured bacterium. RNAcentral's name for it is "bacterial SSU rRNA". It matches the Rfam family "Bacterial small subunit ribosomal RNA", at positions 28 to 1381 of the family's 1533-position model. The record is from RNAcentral.
GACGAACGCUGGCGGCGUGCUUAACACAUGCAAGUCGAACGGAAAGGCCCUGCUUUUGUGGGGUGCUCGAGUGGCGAACGGGUGAGUAACACGUGAGUAACCUGCCCUUGACUUUGGGAUAACUUCAGGAAACUGGGGCUAAUACCGGAUAGGAGCUCCUGCUGCAUGGUGGGGGUUGGAAAGUUUCGGCGGUUGGGGAUGGACUCGCGGCUUAUCAGCUUGUUGGUGGGGUAGUGGCUUACCAAGGCUUUGACGGGUAGCCGGCCUGAGAGGGUGACCGGCCACAUUGGGACUGAGAUACGGCCCAGACUCCUACGGGAGGCAGCAGUGGGGAAUAUUGCACAAUGGGCGGAAGCCUGAUGCAGCAACGCCGCGUGCGGGAUGACGGCCUUCGGGUUGUAAACCGCUUUCGCCUGUGACGAAGCGUGAGUGACGGUAAUGGGUAAAGAAGCACCGGCUAACUACGUGCCAGCAGCCGCGGUGAUACGUAGGGUGCGAGCGUUGUCCGGAUUUAUUGGGCGUAAAGGGCUCGUAGGUGGUUGAUCGCGUCGGAAGUGUAAUCUUGGGGCUUAACCCUGAGCGUGCUUUCGAUACGGGUUGACUUGAGGAAGGUAGGGGAGAAUGGAAUUCCUGGUGGAGCGGUGGAAUGCGCAGAUAUCAGGAGGAACACCAGUGGCGAAGGCGGUUCUCUGGGCCUUUCCUGACGCUGAGGAGCGAAAGCGUGGGGAGCGAACAGGCUUAGAUACCCUGGUAGUCCACGCUGUAAACGGUGGGUACUAGGUGUGGGGUCCAUUCCACGGGUUCCGUGCCGUAGCUAACGCUUUAAGUACCCCGCCUGGGGAGUACGGCCGCAAGGCUAAAACUCAAAGGAAUUGACGGGGCCCCGCACAAGCGGCGGAGCAUGCGGAUUAAUUCGAUGCAACGCGUAGAACCUUACCUGGGUUUGACAUGGAUCGGGAGUGCUCAGAGAUGGGUGUGCCUCUUUUGGGGUCGGUUCACAGGUGGUGCAUGCCUGUCGUCAGCUCGUGUCGUGAGAUGUUGGGUUAAGUCCCGCAACGAGCGCAACCCUUGUUCACUGUUGCCAGCACGUUAUGGUGGGGACUCAGUGGAGACCGCCGGGGUCAACUCGGAGGAAGGUGGGGAUGACGUCAAGUCCUCGUGCCCCUUAUGUCCAGGGCUUCACGCAUGCUACAAUGGCUGGUACAGAGAGUGGCGAGCCUGUGAGGGUGAGCGAAUCUCGGAAAGCCGGUCUCAGUUCGGAUUGGGGUCUGCAACUCGCCCUCAUGAAGUCGGAGUCGCUAGUAAUCGCAGAUCAGCAACGCUGCGGUGAAUACGUUCCCGGGCCU